GUGAUGGGGCUCAAGCGGUAGCACGCUCGCCUGGCAUGCGCGAGGCUCUGGGUUCGAUCCUCAGCACCACA
Molecule: transfer RNA, 71 nt
Filed under: Marmota monax (woodchuck)
Lineage: Eukaryota; Metazoa; Chordata; Mammalia; Rodentia; Sciuridae
Description: tRNA.Ala
Source: RNAcentral